RNAcentral lists this ribosomal RNA (253 nucleotides) under uncultured bacterium. RNAcentral's name for it is "partial 16S ribosomal RNA". It matches the Rfam family "Bacterial small subunit ribosomal RNA", at positions 524 to 776 of the family's 1533-position model. The record is from RNAcentral.
UACAGAGGGUGCGAGCGUUAAUCGGAAUUACUGGGCGUAAAGCGUGCGUAGACGGUUAUUUAAGUCGGGUGUGAAAGCCCCGGGCUCAACCUGGGAAUUGCAUUUGAAACUGGCGGGCUUGAGUAUGGCAGAGGGGGGUGGAAUUCCGCGUGUAGCAGUGAAAUGCGUAGAGAUGCGGAGGAACACCGAUGGCGAAGGCAGCCCCCUGGGCCAAUACUGACGCUCAGGCACGAAAGCGUGGGGAGCAAACAGG